AUAAUAAUUAGUCUUUUUUAUUGAGGCUGGUAUGAAAGAUUGAACGAGAUAAUUACUGUCUCAUUUAAAAUUAAAAAUUGAAUUUUAUUUUUGAGUUAAAAAGCUUAAAUUAAAUUAAAGGACGAGAAGACCCUAUAGAGUUUUAUAUUUAUUUUAUAAUUAAUUAUAAUUUAAUAAUUAUUAAUGAUUAAAUAUUUUAUUGGGGUGAUAGGAAAAUUUAUUAAACUUUUUUAAAUUUAUUACAUAAAUUAAUGAUUUUUUGAUCUUAAAUUUUAGAUUAUUAGAUUAAAUUACCUUAGGGAUAACAGCGUUAUUUUUUUAUUAAGUUCUUAUUGGUAAAAAAGAUUGC
Molecule: ribosomal RNA, 349 nt
Filed under: Lophyrotoma nr. interrupta SS2
Lineage: Eukaryota; Metazoa; Arthropoda; Insecta; Hymenoptera; Pergidae
Description: partial 16S ribosomal RNA
Source: RNAcentral